UGGGGAAUAUUGCCAAUGGGCGCAAGCCUGAUGCAGCCAUGCCGCGUGAGUGAAGAAGGCCUUAGGGUUGUAAAGCUCUUUCAGCUGUGAGGAAAGGGGCGUCGUCAAUAGCAGAAACCCUUGACGACUGCUGCCCAACAAGCACCGGCUAACUCCGUGCCAGCAGCCGCGGUAAUA
This 177-nucleotide ribosomal RNA is filed under the name uncultured Vibrio sp. RNAcentral's name for it is "partial 16S ribosomal RNA". It matches the Rfam family "Bacterial small subunit ribosomal RNA", at positions 355 to 525 of the family's 1533-position model. Lineage: Bacteria; Pseudomonadati; Pseudomonadota; Gammaproteobacteria; Vibrionales; Vibrionaceae. The record is from RNAcentral.